RNAcentral lists this ribosomal RNA (268 nucleotides) under uncultured bacterium. RNAcentral describes it as "partial 16S ribosomal RNA". It matches the Rfam family "Bacterial small subunit ribosomal RNA", at positions 88 to 354 of the family's 1533-position model. The record is from RNAcentral.
UGGUUUAGUGGCGGACGGGUGAGUAACACGUGAGCAACCUGCCUUUCAGAGGGGGAUAACAGUUGGAAACGACUGCUAAUACCGCAUAACGUUGUAAAAGGGCAUCCAUUUACAACCAAAAGAGAAAUCUGCUGAAAGAUGGGCUCGCGGCCGAUUAGAUAGUAGGCGGGGUAACGGCCCACCUAGUCAACGAUCGGUAGCCGGACUGAGAGGUUGAACGGCCACAUUGGGACUGAGACACGGCCCAGACUCCUACGGAAGGCAGCAG